This 30-nucleotide non-coding RNA is filed under the name Mus musculus (house mouse). Lineage: Eukaryota; Metazoa; Chordata; Mammalia; Rodentia; Muridae. The record is from RNAcentral.
UAAUAUAUUUUUAUCUAUGAUAUAUAAAAG